Molecule: transfer RNA, 67 nt
Filed under: Pseudokuzicus pieli
Lineage: Eukaryota; Metazoa; Arthropoda; Insecta; Orthoptera; Tettigoniidae
Description: tRNA-Asp
Source: RNAcentral
AAGAAAUUAGUUAAAGUAUAACAUUAGUAUGUCAUACUAAAAUUAUUAUAAUAUUUAAUAUUUCUUU